ACUCAAAUGAAUUGACGGGGGCCCGCACAAGCGGCGGAGCAUGCGGAUUAAUUCGAUGCAACGCGAAGAACCUUACCAAGGCUUGACAUGGGGUGAAAACCAGCAGAAAUGUUGGGUCCGCAAGGGCGCCUCACAGGUGGUGCAUGGUUGUCGUCAGCUCGUGUCGUGAGAUGUUGGGUUAAGUCCCGCAACGAGCGCAACCCUCGUUCUAUGUUGCCAGCACGUAAUGGUGGGGACUCAUAGGAGACUGCCGGGGUCAACUCGGAGGAAGGUGGGGAUGAGGUCAAAUCAUCAUGCCCCUUAUGUCUUGGGCUUCACGCAUGCUACAAUGGCCAGUACAAAGGGCUGCGAAACCGCGAGGUGGAGCGAAUCCCAAAAAGCUGGUCUCAGUUCGGAUCGGGGUCUGCAACUCGACCCCGUGAAGUUGGAGUCGCUAGUAAUCGCAGAUCAGCAACGCUGCGGUGAAUACGUUCCCGGGCCUUGUACACACCGCCCGU
Molecule: ribosomal RNA, 497 nt
Filed under: uncultured bacterium
Lineage: Bacteria
Description: partial 16S ribosomal RNA
Rfam family: Bacterial small subunit ribosomal RNA
Source: RNAcentral